UUGAACGCUGGCGGCAUGCCUUACACAUGCAAGUCGAACGGCAGCACGGGAGCAAUCCUGGUGGCGAGUGGCGAACGGGUGAGUAAUAUAUCGGAACGUGCCCAGUAGUGGGGGAUAGCCCGGCGAAAGCCGGAUUAAUACCGCAUACGACCUGAGGGUGAAAGCGGGGGAUCGCAAGACCUCGCGCUAUUGGAGCGGCCGAUAUCAGAUUAGCUAGUUGGUGGGGUAAGGGCCUACCAAGGCUACGAUCUGUAGUUGGUCUGAGAGGACGACCAGCCACACUGGGACUGAGACACGGCCCAGACUCCUACGGGAGGCAGCAGUGGGGAAUUUUGGACAAUGGGCGCAAGCCUGAUCCAGCAAUGCCGCGUGCAGGAAGAAGGCCUUCGGGUUGUAAACUGCUUUUGUCAGGGAAGAAAUCUUCUGGGCUAAUACCCCGGGAGGAUGACGGUACCUGAAGAAUAAGCACCGGCUAACUACGU
This 482-nucleotide ribosomal RNA is filed under the name uncultured bacterium. RNAcentral describes it as "bacterial SSU rRNA". It matches the Rfam family "Bacterial small subunit ribosomal RNA", at positions 30 to 506 of the family's 1533-position model. The record is from RNAcentral.